Molecule: small nuclear RNA, 104 nt
Organism: Lepus europaeus (European hare)
Lineage: Eukaryota; Metazoa; Chordata; Mammalia; Lagomorpha; Leporidae
Source: RefSeq, a predicted model, not a curated record
CUGCUCGCUUUGGCAGCACCCACACUCAAACUGGAACAACACAGAGAUUAGCAUGGCUGCUGCACAAGGAUGAUACGCAAAUUCAUGAACAAUUCCCUAUUUUU